CUGCCCUAAAAGAAUCCCGAGGGGAGCUGUAUACCAAUAUCAACCACCUUCUUCACAAAGACAGAUUUACUAAAUACAUCUGUUCAAAAGAAAUGAGGACACAUUGAUAAGCCUAAUUCCUUUUAAUAGAAUGGUUAGACUAAUGACUUCCCAUCCACAGUUUGAUCAUUGAUAAAAUCAUAGCAAAUACUGAUGGCUUGGGUAGCAUACAUGGUUUUGGAUCAUUUUGCAACUAGUAAUUUUAAACUUCCAUUAAUAACCUCAAGUUUUCGGCUAAUAUUUGAACUCAGAAGAUAGGAAACAAACUUGUGUAUGCAAUUUGUAAUUUUUCAGGACAUCUAUGUGCAAAGGAAGAUCUCCACAAAAUUCUCAACUAGCGGUACCCUCGCCUUUGCCUCGAUGCAUAGCCUCUAAACAUUCUUUAGCCCUGUGAACUUUUGACUGAAUGUAAAAGCUUCCAUUUUUGGCAUUCCUCUCAAAUAGCGUCUCAUAUUUCUUCACUAUCUCCUCCCAUGCAGUUUCCUCGGUCACACCAAGAAUCUGCCGGGCUUCUUGCUCUGUCAUGAUUUUGCUUCCUCUACGGAUUGUGUUUUGAAUCGUCUCUUGAGCAACACCAGAUUUUGAGGCAUUUGCAAGUGCUUGCCGGUAGGAUUGAACAAAAGCCCGAGCUAAAAUACCUGAGCCCAUUACAAUUAAGUUGGCAAGAAUUUUAGCUGCCAUAGCUGAANNNNNNNNNNNNGCCGUUGCCGGAGCUUGAGGAUGCCGGAUUUGGUGAGAUGGUAAAUCAGUAAGAACCAAAG
RNAcentral lists this unclassified non-coding RNA (800 nucleotides) under Hevea brasiliensis (rubber tree). Lineage: Eukaryota; Viridiplantae; Streptophyta; Magnoliopsida; Malpighiales; Euphorbiaceae. The record is from RNAcentral.